AUUGAACGCUGGCGGCAUGCUUUACACAUGCAAGUCGAACGGCAGCGCGGGCUUCGGCCUGGCGGCGAGUGGCGAACGGGUGAGUAAUGCAUCGGAACGUGCCCAGUAGUGGGGGAUAGCCCGGCGAAAGCCGGAUUAAUACCGCAUACGACCUGAGGGUGCAAGCGGGGGACCGAAAGGCCUCGCGCUCUUGGAGCGGCCGAUGUCGGAUUAGCUAGUUGGUGGGGUAAAGGCUUACCAAGGCGACGAUCCGUAGCUGGUCUGAGAGGACGACCAGCCACACUGGGACUGGGACACGGCCCAGACUCCUACGGGAGGCAGCAGUGGGGAAUUUUGGACAAUGGGGGCAAACCUGAUCCAGCCAUGCCGCGUGCGGGAAGAAGGCCUUCGGGUUGUAAACCGCUUUUGUUCGGGAAGAAAUCCUCUGGGCUAAUACCCCGGGGGGAUGACGGUACCGGAAGAAUAAGCACCGGCUAACUACGUG
This 484-nucleotide ribosomal RNA is filed under the name uncultured bacterium. RNAcentral's name for it is "partial 16S ribosomal RNA". It matches the Rfam family "Bacterial small subunit ribosomal RNA", at positions 28 to 507 of the family's 1533-position model. The record is from RNAcentral.